GAGGGUAUAGCUCAGUGGUAGAGCGCAUGCUUAGCAUGCAUGAAGUCCUGGGUUCAAGCCCCAGUAUUUACA
RNAcentral lists this transfer RNA (72 nucleotides) under Camelus bactrianus (Bactrian camel). It matches the Rfam family "tRNA". Rfam says of the family: Transfer RNA (tRNA) molecules are approximately 80 nucleotides in length. Lineage: Eukaryota; Metazoa; Chordata; Mammalia; Artiodactyla; Camelidae. The record is from Rfam by way of RNAcentral. RNAcentral also lists the same sequence under 2 other names.